GGUGCUAUACUUUAAAUAUAAAAGGUCUGAUUUGCAUUUAGGAGAUGAAAAUUAAUUUUCUGGCGCCA
RNAcentral lists this transfer RNA (68 nucleotides) under Astralium haematragum. RNAcentral describes it as "tRNA-Ala". It matches the Rfam family "tRNA". From Rfam's summary of the family: Transfer RNA (tRNA) molecules are approximately 80 nucleotides in length. Their secondary structure includes four short double-helical elements and three loops (D, anti-codon, and T loops). The record is from RNAcentral. Lineage: Eukaryota; Metazoa; Mollusca; Gastropoda; Trochida; Turbinidae.